UAAUUUUUCUAAUCAAGCAAUCAAUCCUAAUUCAAUUCUACUUUUGUUCACGAGGUGUCAACUCAGUGGUAAGAGUUUAACCUUGUAACCUCAACACACAAAAUGAAAAGAAGAAAAAAACUUUGCUUCUAGAAAUUCCUUGAAAAAAUUGAUCUUUAGGAUCAAUUCGAAAAUUUCAUUUUUAGGGAAAUCACAAACCUAGUUUCUUAGUGAAAAUUAACAAAGUAGACAAUUCCAAAUUUGUAAUAAUGAAUAGUCAGAAAAUCAAACUUAACAGAUUCAUCAGAAUUCAGAGCAACAAUGUAAAAUUAAGAAGAAACUUCAAUCAAAGAGUUCCACCUACAACUCUGAAAAAUCUCAAGUACAUUUCAAUUCUCUUAUAUAGAGACAAAUUGUGUACAUGAGCAAAAAACUUGAUUUUUUUUCUUUUUCUUUUUCUUUUUCAAGUUACAUGAUGUAUGAAAUAUGAAUAAUUAGGUGCUUUAUUAUAGUGGGAAUAAUAAUGAGUAUCUAAAGAAAAAAAAAAUGAUGUAAAUUAGAUAUAGGUUUCUGGUUUACUUACAAUAUGAUGAAUUUGGAUGCAGAAAGUGUGAUAGAAAGAACCCUUUUUUCAACUCUCUUUAAUUAAUAAUAAUCUGCUUAAUCAUUCACCAAUUGAUAACAACGUUGAUAAGAGCUACUCUGUGCAUAGUGUAAACUC
RNAcentral lists this long non-coding RNA (700 nucleotides) under Trifolium pratense (red clover). RNAcentral's name for it is "long non-coding RNA (TPRA_LNC009474)". Lineage: Eukaryota; Viridiplantae; Streptophyta; Magnoliopsida; Fabales; Fabaceae. The record is from RNAcentral.